AAGUCGUAACAAGGUUUCCGUAGGUGAACCUGCGGAAGGAUCAUUAACACGUAUCCAACGUUAAACAACCCUGUGAACCUUGAACGUGCUCUCGCACACGCUCUAGCAGCAAUCCCUGGUAAAUCAUUGUUGACCAGCUAUUGAGUCAGGGACCUCUGCUUUAAAACGAUGCGAUACGAGCGCCAGAGUAAGUGCGGCCUGGCAUCCUAGCAAUCUGUCAGUGGUUGCGCAAGGAUGGCGCAGUAAACGAUCGCUGUAGGCCCACACGGCCGGCGACCGGGCCUCUGUGCUUCGGCACCUAACGACCCCAUGUUUCGUACCCGGUGCGCUGUAACAACCGCACCACAAACUCGAACAACUGUUAACAAUGGAUAUCUUGGUUCUC
This 385-nucleotide unclassified non-coding RNA is filed under the name fungal sp. RNAcentral's name for it is "partial internal transcribed spacer region". The stretch from base 1 to 46 matches the Rfam family "Eukaryotic small subunit ribosomal RNA", at positions 1786 to 1831 of the family's 1831-position model. Lineage: Eukaryota; Fungi. The record is from RNAcentral. RNAcentral also lists the same sequence under 1 other name.